RNAcentral lists this ribosomal RNA (513 nucleotides) under Triticum aestivum (bread wheat). Its description in RNAcentral is "partial small subunit ribosomal RNA". The record is from RNAcentral. Lineage: Eukaryota; Viridiplantae; Streptophyta; Magnoliopsida; Poales; Poaceae.
AUGGAAGCAUUUAGACUAGUGAAGGGGGCAAAUCAGAUUCGAUCACUUAAAAGACCCGGGGACACUAGGUGGGGUUCUCAGUUUGGUUCUAUUCAUAGCCUUAUGAAGUUGUUUAAUGCGGUAAAUUUUGUUAUCCAAGAUAUGGCUUCAGAUGGAUUAGUAGUGGGAUCAAUACGUGCUGAUCCUGACACUUCUUUCAGCUAUUUGUCCUCGUUCGAGUUUGUCUUUAUCUUAUGUAUGAUGAAAGAGAUAUUAGGGAUAACUGAAGGACUUGGUCAGGCUUUACAAAAGAGGUCACAAGACAUUGUAAAUGUUGUUCGUCUAGUGUCUGCGACAAAAGAGUGUCUUCGUCAGUUGAGACUGAACAAAGGCUGGGAGGAAUUCUUUUGCAUAGUUGUUGAAUUUUGUGUGAAUCAUGGCACUGAAAUUCCAGACAUGAAGGAAACUUAUAUCAUGCGUGGUGGCCAUGCACGGCAUCAGCCUGAUCAUUUCACUAAGGAGCAAUAUUUUUGA